This 18-nucleotide microRNA is filed under the name Corchorus olitorius. Its description in RNAcentral is "cin-miR-4185-". Lineage: Eukaryota; Viridiplantae; Streptophyta; Magnoliopsida; Malvales; Malvaceae. The record is from RNAcentral.
CAGCAGUGAUGAUAAUGC